Molecule: ribosomal RNA, 229 nt
Filed under: uncultured bacterium
Lineage: Bacteria
Description: partial 16S ribosomal RNA
Rfam family: Bacterial small subunit ribosomal RNA
Source: RNAcentral
UCCGCAGGCGGGCAAUUAAGUCAGGGGUGAAAUGCUGUGGCUCAACCAUAGCACUGCCCUUGAUACUGGUUGUCUUGAGUCAAGGUGAAGUGGCCGGAAUAUGUAGUGUAGCGGUGAAAUGCAUAGAUAUUACAUAGAACACCAAUCGCGAAGGCAGGUCACUAACCUUCGACUGACGCUGAUGGACGAAAGCGUGGGGAGCAAACAGGAUUAGAUACCCUGGUAGUCC